Molecule: long non-coding RNA, 1338 nt
Filed under: Canis lupus familiaris (dog)
Lineage: Eukaryota; Metazoa; Chordata; Mammalia; Carnivora; Canidae
Description: lncRNA (ENSCAFG00845006913.1)
Source: RNAcentral
UUUUUUGUUUUGUUUUGUUUUGUUUUUUGUUUUUUGUUUUUUUUUAGUUCCCCAUGCUCUGGUGUUUGUUCUCUCCCCAGUAGUUGUUUUUGUCUGGUCUCAUGGAGUUUCUCAUGGAGAAAGUUCAGUUUAAUAUUUAGCUAAAGACUUGAAGGAACCCACAUGCAGAUUUCUGGAGCUCCCUUUGCACCUAGUCCUAUCUUCUCUGAUACCUAGUCUGCCACACAUGUUCUUGUCACUUCAGUACCUCAAACAUCAAUCUUUGUUUCCUUACCUCAAUGAAACUGUGUCUUGAUGCUUCCUCUCUCUGUACUGCUGCCAGAAAAGUGCUUCCAUAAGAAAACUGAGGCAGUGACGGAUCUUGCAUUACCUGUUUCCAUUUGCUCUUGGGGAUCAUAGUUUUCUGCUGCUUGUUCUUCAGAUUUGGAAAUAAUUAUUCCAUUUGAUUUUCCAGGUUUUACAUUAUGUAUAGCCAGUUAUCCUGCCAUGAUUAAAAAUGAAAAUCACCACAUGCACACUAUAGAAAAUUAAGUUUAUUUUUAUUAUACAGCCAACAUUUACUUAGAUUUACCCACAUUGUUAAAUGUUUCACGUUUUUUUGUCAUUUUCUGCAUGUCUGGUAUUACAUUUUGGAUGCUUUUUUUCUUCUGCUUGAAGAAUAACCUUUAGUGUUUCCUUUACUAUGGUUCUAUCGGUGACAGAAUCACUCAGCGUUCGUUAUCCUCCAGAUGUAUUUAAUUCAUCUUCAUUUUUGAAUGAUGCUUUUCAUAUAGGAGGAAUAAUGAGGCUAUGAAUUAAAUUAAUGGUUAUUUCUCAAAUUGCUAGAUUAAACAGAAAUUUAGUUAUAUUGAUAAAAUAGCUUUCCAGGGAUGACAUAAAAGUUUUAGGGCAAUCUAUGAUUGAGUAGUCUCUAAUUAUGUCUUCAUCAAAGAUUUUGAAGCCUUAUGUUUUUGUUUUCUCUCUGGUCUUGCAUCAUGCAAAUAAGUGUGCUAAUUUACUUUUAAAUUUUAUUUUCCAACAUUUUUCUCACAAAAUGUUCAAGUAUAUAGAAAAUUUGAGUACAAUAAAUAAUGAUAUAUGCCCUAAAUAGUUUCAGCAGAUUUUAGCAUUUUUUGCUUUGUCUAAAUUAUAUAGGUAAUAAAUCAACUAUAUACAAUUAUAUAUUUAAGCUUUUCUUAAAUUUUAUUGUCACUGCAGUAUCCUGUGAAAGUAAGAUAUAGACAUUAUGAUAGUUCGUUGUCAAAUACCUCCACAAUCGUUAUGCUAAGAGCAAAAUCUUUUGUACAACCACAUUAAUUUUUUUUAAGAUUUUAUUUAUUUAUUCAUGUGAGAAUACAU